Molecule: RNA transcript, 961 nt
Organism: Epinephelus fuscoguttatus (brown-marbled grouper)
Lineage: Eukaryota; Metazoa; Chordata; Actinopteri; Perciformes; Serranidae
Gene: iqcc
Gene name: IQ motif containing C
Exons: 5
Source: RefSeq, a predicted model, not a curated record
AAAAGUUUGAGUUCCUCUCCCGCUCUACGAGACGAUGCUGUCAUGUUACCAUAGCAAUGGACAGAAGCAAAUGGGAGCAUAUACUCACCUGUUUUCAGGCUUCUGCACGUGGAUACCUGGUGAGAAACGAAAUCCGUCGUGCACGAGAAGACUUUGAGGACAUCGUGACAGACAUUGAUGGAGGCUUGACCCAUGUAGAGUGGAGGCAGGGGGUUAUUCCCAUCCCUCGCUUCACAGACCCUGAAAGCCCAUUUCUACGACUCAGCAGCUCUGCCAGCAAACCUCCAAACCCACGACUGGAUGUCAGUGCCAGCCACCACAGUCCAUCAUCAUCAUCCUCAGCACCCUUAUCAGAGAACAGAGGAGAUCAUCCUGUCCUGUUGGAGAGGACAGAAGCAGAGAGAGAUGAUUCACAAACCAAAGGGCAGGCCUCUCUUUCUCAGUACUGUUUCCACAGCAGCAGUGUUAGAGGGGAUGGAGAGGGACAGAGAGAAAGCACAAUGGAGGAGAAAGAUGGAGACUCUACUACCGUCUGGAGCAGUUUGGAGCUGGACGUGAGCUAUGGUCACUCUCACAAAGGUCCUCAGCAGUACGGCUUGGCUCAGGAGGUGCCCUGUACCCCAGAGGCCUUGCGUCUCCAUAGAAACACCCUGACCAUGGAGCUGGUUUGGCUCCAGCAGGCCAUUGAAAGCAGGAAGAAGGUGAGGCAGAGGAAGGGAGAGAUGUAGUGUUUCCCUGCAUUUAUUUAGCUUUGGCAGUCUCCCACUGGAAGAAAAUUGCCUCUGCUGCAAGACUGAAUUUAUUGAGUGACCUCAAGAAUAAGCCAGUACAGUGAGUUCACGCUGCAGCAGUUCUGGAAAGAAAUACCUACAUUUACUUGUCACUGAAGGACAGGCUGAGUGUUUCCCGACAGCAGACGUAAUCUGAACUGGACCAGACAACUGAAGUCACUCAAGUAGCG